This 1969-nucleotide long non-coding RNA is filed under the name Nicotiana benthamiana. Its description in RNAcentral is "long non-coding RNA (NBEN_LNC015247)". Lineage: Eukaryota; Viridiplantae; Streptophyta; Magnoliopsida; Solanales; Solanaceae. The record is from RNAcentral.
GGGGGGGGGGGGGCCUUGGGACAGAUUUUGCUUGGCCAAAAAUCUGUCCAAAAUGAUAGAUUUUUUGACCAAACAUCUGUCCAAAACCAGAUUUCUGUCCAAUGAACAGUUGUUCCCAACAAAUAUGGACAGAAUUUUCGAGCAUUGUGCUCCAAAACAAUCUGCAACAGUAAAAGCAACCAAAGAAAGGACCUUACACUCAAGUAUUCUCUUUCUUUCCCUUUUUCAAAGCAAAUUCUAUGUUUAAACAAAACACAUGACUCGUAUUACUCAAAUCUUACUAAAAUACACUCAUAACUGUUGAAGUGAUAAUAUACUAAGUCUUUCAACACAAACUAUCAUCAAGCAUUAAACCUAUAUAUUAUCGCUUCAUUAGAAUAAAUGAACUCGUGUCUUGAAAAUAUCAAUGACUCAACUAAACAAUUUAACCAUUUCAGAAUGAAUCAAGAUCACGGAUGCCUUUGAACGAUGAUCAAUUAACACAAAUAAACAAGCUAACAGAACUUCAUAUAACCUGUAUUAAUCAAUUAACAAAAGAACUAACAAACGAAACUAAAAGCUAAUCAAUCUAACUGUCAAACAAUGGUCCUCAACUAACAUGAAACAAACCAACUACAACCUGACAAUCCCCAAAUCAAAACACGAUUUGAAUCUAGCAAAUAUAAUCUAGUUAAACAUUAAAAGAUAAAGCGAGGUAAACUAACAAAACUAAUCAUGCUUCCCAAGAUAUGCCAAUCAAAACGGAUAACACGAUCAAUACAAACAAGACUAAACAAAUGCAUAUUAACUAAAAGACUUAAAAUUUGAAAUGAAAUACAUAAUUCAAACUAAUAUAAAUGAGUCGAAACCAACGCUUAAAACUACCUGUAAAUGAUAUAAACGAUAUUGAAGAAAACCUAAAACUAAUUGAAAUGGAAUACUACACAAUUAAGUGAGAUUAAAACAAGACGUAAACUAAAAUAUGCUCCUAGUCUUAAUAACGAACCAAAAAGAAAAAAAAUAAAGAAAAAGGAAUAAUGUUAUACCAAAACAAGGGAAGCCGAAGCCAAAGACAACAAGCUCUUAUGCUAUGGACUAACAAGCGAUUCACACUAACAUUACAAUAGUUUAGUUAACCUAUAAAUACUACUAACAAAAUUAUAAAGAUUAAACCUUAAAAUUAAAUCUGAAGCACAAGCUGAAAAUCAGAAACGAGAAAGGGGAGACAGAUUGAAGAUUUACCGACAACUCGAUAUUUGAAGCACAAGAUGAAAAUCAGAAACGGGAAAGGGGAGACAGAUUGAAGAUUUAUCGACAACUCGAGCACACAGGCAGUGGUGAGACAAAGGCAGCGAUGGUGGUGAUUCAACCCGGGCAUGAUUUUAUUGUUGAUUUAUACCAAAAUACUAAAUACAGUGAGUUGAAUCUCGAUUUCGGUAUAAUUGACAAUAAAAUCAUGUCCGAGUCGAUUGGAGGCAAGAACGGAAGAGCGUUGGAGGUAGCGGCGGCGAGCAGUGGGGGUUGCCGGAAUUCCGGUCGCCGAAUUUUUGGGUUAAGACCAAUGCCAAAUGGUAGCUCUUGUCGAGCUCUAUCUAUGUAUGUAAACAUUAGGUGGAAAGGGUGGCUCAAUCAUCCUGAAUUUGUGAAAAAAACGGCGGCAAGGGUUUCCUAAGAUCUAAAACUCGUGGGUUUUGAGGGGUUUUUAGUGAAUUUAGCUCGGAGAUUCGGAAAGAAGGGGUUAAGGAGAGCAUAGAGUAAAAAAUGGGGCCAAUUGGACCACCACCGGCGGUGGCCCACGGUGGUGGCAGUGAUGGAGCGGCGGUGGCUUUGAGAGAGGGUGAGAGAGAGAUGGAGGAGGCUAGGGUUUGUAACAUGUGAUAAAUGGCCAAAAAUCUGAUUUAAAAGGGGUUAGAUACCUUAUUGAAGAUUCAAUCAGGACCGUUGGACUACAUCGUUUGGACCCUUCCCUUGUCAGCCCCUUGUGGACCGG